This 513-nucleotide ribosomal RNA is filed under the name uncultured bacterium. RNAcentral's name for it is "bacterial SSU rRNA". It matches the Rfam family "Bacterial small subunit ribosomal RNA", at positions 29 to 518 of the family's 1533-position model. The record is from RNAcentral.
AACGAACGCUGGCGGCGUGCUUAACACAUAGCAAGUCGAACGCGAAAGGGACUUCGGUCCUGAGUAAAGUGGCGCACGGGUGAGUAACGCGUAGAUAACCUGUCUUCAUGUCUGGAAUAAUACGCCGAAAGGGGUACUAAUACCGGAUAUUCUUGCUUUUCAUAAGUUAUGCAAGCAAAGGUGGCCUCUGCAUAUGCUACUGCAUGAAGAGGGGUCUGCGUACCAUUAGCUAGUAGGUGGGGUAAUGGCCUACCUAGGCGACGAUGGUUAGCGGGUCUGAGAGGAUGAUCCGCCACACUGGCACUGGAACACGGGCCAGACUCCUACGGGAGGCAGCAGUGAGGAAUAUUGCGCAAUGGGGGAAACCCUGACGCAGCGACGCCGCGUGAGUGAAGGGAAGGCCUUCGGGUCGUAAAGCUCUGUCAAGAGGAAAGAAGUGUACAAUGGCUAAUACCUGUUGUAUUUGACGGUACCUCUAAAGGAAGCACCGGCUAACUCCGUGCCAGCAGCCGC